RNAcentral lists this ribosomal RNA (139 nucleotides) under uncultured bacterium. Its description in RNAcentral is "partial 16S rRNA". It matches the Rfam family "Bacterial small subunit ribosomal RNA", at positions 355 to 511 of the family's 1533-position model. The record is from RNAcentral.
UGGGGAAUAUUGGACAAUGGGCGAAAGCCUGAUCCAGCAAUGCCGCGUGAGUGAUGAAGGCCUUAGGGUUGUAAAGCUCUUUUACCAGGGAUGAUAAUGACAGUACCUGGAGAAUAAGCUCCGGCUAACUCCGUGCCAG